Fundulus heteroclitus (mummichog) is the source of this 982-nucleotide long non-coding RNA. RefSeq lists it as uncharacterized. Lineage: Eukaryota; Metazoa; Chordata; Actinopteri; Cyprinodontiformes; Fundulidae. The transcript has 2 exons. The record is from RefSeq and is a predicted model, not a curated record.
AAACACACCUCCAAAGAUAAAUUGAGUUAUUUGUCCUUAAAGGGGAUCCAAACAGACCCGUGGUUCCUUGGUGGGAUGGCGAGGGCGCAGGAGCUGCAGGCGUGAGGAGAAACCCUGCAGACGAAGGAUCCUGGGUCAUCUACCUCCAAGCCGGUCCGGCCCGACAAAUAUAGCCUGGGUGCUUUCCCUCUGGUGCUCUGCCGCACCGGGAGAAAUAAAUCUGUCCAGGAACCGCCAAGUGCAGAAGGGAGAGGCACGGGGGAACAAAAGGGGGAGUGGGCUCAACAGGAGAGAGCUGAGGUGAGAGAAAAAACAAAGGUGGGAUGCCGGAGUUAAACCCCUCAAACUAUUUCAAGACGUCAACAUGGUUGUCCUGAUGUUUUUUUUUUGUUUUUUUUUUUUGCCUUCCUGCAGGCAGGGGUUUGGUUCUGCUGCGCUCAUGGCGUGCAGAUGGAGGUAACGCCGCGUCCAAAUGGUUGGGGAGCGCGUCCCAAAAUUGUUGUGGUAACCUCAUCCCACAGCAACCAUGUAUGGACCGAAGGGAGCAGGCGUGAUGGAGGAGCAGCUGCCAUAAAUAGCCAGGAAGUAUCGGACCUCCAGCGCAGGAGGGAUCCAAUCAGCUGUUCCGGACAACACGGCGUCUGCUGGUUCGCAGAAAGCAGGAGGACAACAGCGACUGUGGCGUUAGUGUGGAGACAGGUGGAAAGGCCUCAGUACUGAAAACCGAUUUGGAUAUGAAGCAGCUGGGAUGGAGGGACAGCUGGAAGCGAAUGGCGGUGAAGUCUGCGGGACAGUCAGACUGAGGCGACUACCAAUGUGUGUCAGUCUUUUCCCAAAUCAGAAAAAGGCAGACAGAAAACAAAGUGGGUAUUAUUUAUGUACGUUUCGACAACCCAAAUAUUGGUGGCAAAAGUCAACUAAGUCUUCGAUAUAACUGCUCUGUCACACUUCUGCAAAAAUAAACCCUAGAGCGAAACAAUCA